This 2848-nucleotide long non-coding RNA is filed under the name Canis lupus familiaris (dog). Its description in RNAcentral is "lncRNA (ENSCAFG00000055814.1)". Lineage: Eukaryota; Metazoa; Chordata; Mammalia; Carnivora; Canidae. The record is from RNAcentral.
AGAGGGAGAGAGAGAGAGAAUGCAUGCAUGCGAAUGUGGGAGGGACAGAGGGAGAAGGAGAGAGAAACCUAAGCAGACUCUGUGCUAAGCAUGGAGCCAGAUGCAAGGGUCGAUCCCAGGACCCUGAGAUCAUGACUGAGAUGAAAUCAAGAGACUUUAAGACAUUUUCUGAUGCGAGUUUUUAGGCAUUUGAGGGAUUUUGAUUCAUCUGCAAAGUAGCCACAUGUCUGUCCUUGAAGGUGAGCUUUUAUUACUCCGUGACAUGAAAUAAAAGUUUAAGUGUCUCACUUUUCUAUUAUUUGUCAGGAAGGUCUCCUGCAGCCUAGAGUGAAGAGAUGAACUCGUUCAGAUUUUUGUCAAGUGCUGCCCAUCAUGGCCCUUGUAACGUCAGAGGAGAGAACAUAUUCAUCAGUGGCUGGGGUGAGGACAUAGCUCCUUCAGAGAACAUUCUUCAGAAAAGAAUUCAAGAAGAGUUCUUCAAAGAAGAUUACAUUAACUUGUUUCUUUGUAACUCGGAAAAAAUUAAAUGAAGUGAUUCUAAUUUCUUUUAUAUAGUAUCUUGGAUAAAUUCUGAAGAUAUUUGGCCAAGAUAACCAGCAAAAAAAAUCGACCUUUUAACACUUACAUACUUCCAGGGAAGCCUCUAGUUAUAUGCAUGUUUGUAAAAUACACUUACUAUAACUGCUGCUCUGCCUUAAAUCAUAGAUCCAUUCAGUACAUUCUCACUUACUUCUUACCCUAGUUAUAGCUCUUCGCUCGUAGCACCCCACUACCAUCGAAUCAUGGAUUAGAAUUAUACUAAUCUGUACCGUCACUGACCUUCUAUCCAUAACUGAUAGCAGCAGCAGAGGAAGUAAACAUAAAACUCAUCCAAUGCCACUGAAAGCAGCUGGUGCAUCAGGGAUGACAGUGGGACACCAAGAGUCUAAGUAAAAACAGACAGACUACGUUCAAGUCUUGCUUCCUCUGAGACUCACACAGCAGGUCUCUGGCCCAUUCAGAAAAGGAGAGCUUACAAUUUCAUCUCCUGGGUAACUUGCUACUGCUCUGAUUGACUGAACUGAUGCGUUUAUUUAAUCGCAGGACUUUGCAAUUACAAGAACAAUAGGCAUCACAAAAAUAAUACAUCCUUUUCUUUCAGAAAAGUAAAAGGAGGUAUAGUGUUGGAACCUAAGACUGGGGGUGUAAUUGAAUGUAAGCUUAAAACAUGUUUAAUAAAAUGAAGUCAUUUUCCAGUUGGGAAACAUGGACAAACCGUCACGUUUUCUAGGAGCAACUGCUCCAAUAGUGGGGUUAAAGGGUAGACUUCACUUACACAUGAAAAGGGACCCAGGUUACUUUGAUUCUAUAUACCUUCGUGUCUUUCAGUUGUUCCAGGACAUGACAGUUUGACCCACCUGUAUGUUCCAUGCUCCCUACCAAUUUGCUAUAUGCCAGAAAUUCCAGUACUCUAAGUUCAUAAUGGUCUUUAUUUAUUAACCUGAUUGUUGAAACGGAAGACAAAACAGCAAUGCACCCAGGAACCUGGUCAGCCCAGGCGAGUGUGUUUUCUGAGUCUUCAGAUAAACAAUGUAGAAAAUACAUUACGUGGUAAUUUCAAAUGAUUUAUCCAGCUCUAACAUGUCUUCAGUCUCAUGUCCAGAAAGCCACUGCCAAGUCCGUGUACAACCUCUCACCAAGCUCUGAAGGCUGAAUAAUCCUCUGCUUUUAAUCUCUCCUCAUUCUUCCAAGAAAAAAUGUUACAGUUGAUGGAUUCUUAUUUCAUUCCAAGGCUUAGGUCCUCCACUUGACAAAACUUCUAGGAUCUCAGUGGGAGACACAUCUACUAGUGUACAUCAGGAAUUAUGCCUAUUUGCCCACUUAUGACCUGUGAUUCAUAAUAAAUCACCUUUAUUUCUCUCAAAAUUUUUAAUGCACUACAGGCUUCUCAAUUGUACAAGAAUAUAUAUAUAUAUACAUUGAUGCCCAAUUAAAAGAUGUUAGAGUCACCCUCACAUAGGUUUUGUAAGUUGUGGCUGAGCUAACUUAUUAAAAAUGACAAGUUUAUUUUACCAAUGAUGCCAUAAAGGACAAAGGUUAUCUAUAGUUUGUACACUGAUAACUUAAGGCGCUCAAUGAUUUAACUUGCUCCAUUUAACUUUCUCCAUAAACUGGUUUCUUACACAGUUUCAUUUUCCAGCCUGGACGGAGAAGGAGUCAAGGGAGCAGGUGCCUUUAGAUCUGCUUCAUACUCGGAGAAGCUCCUAAUGUUCUGUGUGGGGUGAGGAAAUAGCCCAGUGUUUUCAUAUGACUAAUGCCUUGUUCUUGGCUUACAGUGUUGUAGGCUUUACCAAGUGUUAGCAUUAAAUAUGCAGUUAUUGAACUUUUCAUAAGAGGCAAUGAUGUAAAAUUGUUCCACAAAGUGUACUAUAUGAACCACUUUUCACAGUUCAAAUAAAAUAUUUUAAAUAUAAAUAUUGAAACUCUAGCAAUAACCUCUCUACGCAAGAUAAGAGAGAGGGGAUUAAUGAAAACCCAGUUAAAUUUCCAUAUAUUCAUGAUUAACCAUUUAAAUAGUUUUAUUUUCCAAAACCCAAUUGCACAUAACCCAUAACUUAUAGGCCACGUCUCCAAAACAAAUAAACCACCAAAGAAAAAAGUGAUAAAUUAUAAGAAAGGAAAAUAUGCGAUAUUUACUACAAUCAUUCCCUUGCUCCAAAACUUGGCAAAUAUAUAAGAAAAGUGACCUCAAGUGGAUAUACUUUAAUUUGCAAAGCUAAUUGGAGCAGAUGAAGUUAAAACACAUAGAACAGAAUGGGCAUACAUUAUUUUCAUAUUUGCAUGUGAAAUGAAUGUAUUGGCGUAAAUU